This 407-nucleotide long non-coding RNA is filed under the name Ananas comosus (pineapple). Its description in RNAcentral is "long non-coding RNA (ACOM_LNC015382)". Lineage: Eukaryota; Viridiplantae; Streptophyta; Magnoliopsida; Poales; Bromeliaceae. The record is from RNAcentral.
GCUGUACCGGUACUAAUCCGAUGCAGUACCGAUACUCGGUGCCAAUACCAGUACUCACCAACAGGUACCGAUAUUCGACAUCAAACAUCACAAACCCGAGAGCAACAACUCAAGUAAUCCCUCUGGGGUACUGGUACACCUCUAAAGUACCAGUACUCAACACUCGAAAUCCUGCUUUUGCAAAUUUCAGUGUUCGAACUCCAACUCUCACAGCUCUCAAUCCGUUUUCGCGUCUAUUUCGCGUCAAAACCCCUCUAACUCGUCCCGAUACUCUACAGAUAUAUUGACAAGUCACUAAUGCUACAGUCAGUCCGAUAACUAAACUCCAGAGACACUACAAAAAAAGCCUUUCUACUUGGGCAUAUUAAAUUAUAUGAAAAAUAAAAAUAUUAUUUAAAAAAUUUAUA